Molecule: ribosomal RNA, 402 nt
Filed under: uncultured Rhizomicrobium sp.
Lineage: Bacteria; Pseudomonadati; Pseudomonadota; Alphaproteobacteria; Micropepsales; Micropepsaceae
Description: bacterial SSU rRNA
Rfam family: Bacterial small subunit ribosomal RNA
Source: RNAcentral
AGUUGGGAAUCUUGGACAAUGGGGGAAACCCUGAUCCAGCCAUGCCGCGUGAGUGAUGAAGGCCUUCGGGUUGUAAAACUCUUUCGACGGGGACGAUAAUGACGGUACCCGUAGAAGAAGCUCCGGCUAACUUCGUGCCAGCAGCCGCGGUAAUACGAAGGGGGCUAGCGUUGUUCGGAAUUACUGGGCGUAAAGCGCGCGCAGGCGGUUCUCCAAGUCAGUGGUGAAAGCCCGGAGCUCAACUCCGGAACUGCCAUUGAAACUGUUGAACUUGAGGACGAGAGAGGUGAGUGGAAUUCCCAGUGUAGAGGUGAAAUUCGUAGAUAUUGGGAAGAACACCGGUGGCGAAGGCGGCUCACUGGCUCGUUUCUGACGCUCAGGCGCGAUAGCGUGGGGAUCAAA